GGAUCAUUAGUUCAGUUGGUUAGAACGCUCGGCUCAUAACCGAGAAGUCGUCUGUUCGAGUCAGACAUGAUCCA
RNAcentral lists this transfer RNA (74 nucleotides) under Caudoviricetes sp. RNAcentral's name for it is "tRNA-Met". It matches the Rfam family "tRNA". From Rfam's summary of the family: Transfer RNA (tRNA) molecules are approximately 80 nucleotides in length. Their secondary structure includes four short double-helical elements and three loops (D, anti-codon, and T loops). Lineage: Duplodnaviria; Heunggongvirae; Uroviricota; Caudoviricetes. The record is from RNAcentral.